This is a non-coding RNA of Daphnia pulex (common water flea), 82 nucleotides long. The record is from Rfam. NCBI's taxonomy places the organism in Eukaryota, Metazoa, Arthropoda, Branchiopoda, Diplostraca, Daphniidae.
GAUAGUGUGGUCGAGUGGUCUAUGGAGCUGGUUUUAGGCACCAGUCUCUUCGGAGGCAAGGGUUCGAAUCCCUUCACUGUCA